GACGAACGCUGGCGGCGUGCUUAACACAUGCAAGUCGAACGGAAAGGCCCUGCUUGCAGGGUACUCGCGUGGCGAACGGGUGAGUAACACGUGGGUGAUCUGCCCUGCACUUCGGGAUAAGCCUGGGAAACUGGGUCUAAUACCGGAUAGGAGCCAUUUUUAGUGUGAUGGUUGGAAAGUUUUUUCGGUGUAGGAUGAGCUCGCGGCCUAUCAGCUUGUUGGUGGGGUAAUGGCCUACCAAGGCGGCGACGGGUAGCCGGCCUGAGAGGGUGGACGGCCACAUUGGGACUGGGGUACGGCCCAGACUCCUACGGGAGGCAGCAGUGGGGAAUAUUUGACAAUGGGCGCGAGCCUGAUGCAGCGACGCCGCGUGGGGGGUGACGGGCUUCGGGUUGUAAACUCCGUUCGCUAGGGACGAAGCUUUUUGUGACGGUACCUAGAUAAGAAGCACCGGCUAACUACGUG
Molecule: ribosomal RNA, 465 nt
Filed under: uncultured bacterium
Lineage: Bacteria
Description: partial 16S ribosomal RNA
Rfam family: Bacterial small subunit ribosomal RNA
Source: RNAcentral